Molecule: long non-coding RNA, 1211 nt
Organism: Tetranychus urticae (two-spotted spider mite)
Lineage: Eukaryota; Metazoa; Arthropoda; Arachnida; Trombidiformes; Tetranychidae
Source: RefSeq, a predicted model, not a curated record
UCUUGAUUCAAGACUCUUGAUGUUUGUGUCGUCACUUUUAUGCAUCUCAUUAUUUAAAUUGUAUUUUUAUCUGUUAAUUAACGUCAUUCCAAUUAUGUCCCCAUCUUGGUAAUAAAUUUAACUCAAUCAGUCCCGUUAAAUAUCACUGAUUGAUAGGUUUAAUGCGUAUUAUGGUUGUAAAAUUUACACUUUCCUUCUUCUAUAUGGUUAUGUGCUCUGGUGUGUUCAUCAAUAUGGAUGGAAUCGAUGUUCAACUUGGUUAAAUAUUAUUGGCAAUUUGAAUAAAAUGAUUGGAAUCAACUUAAUUUUCCUUCUUUUAUGCAUAAAUUUAUUGGUCUGAAUGACAGAAAAGUACUCAUGAUAACUUCGACCUUCAAUAAUGUCUAAGACAACUUUUUUUAGCCUCUAUCAACGAUCCAAUCAGACUUCAAGUCAAGUUAUUCUAGAAGCAUGGAAGCUAAGAAAACGAAGAUGAAAUGGCAGCAAAAAAAAAGAUGGAAACCAGUGAUUCAAGAGGAAAAUUAAGCGGGAAAAUCAUCAAGAUGGUGGUUACAGUGAUGCUUACAGAAAGAUAAAUCUAAAUUAAUGCCUUUUCGAUUGGAUUGUAACCAGAGUUGCGUCACACAGUUUCAUUAUAUUUGGUUUUUUAUUCGUUGAAUUAAAUCACAGAUUGAUUCAGUUUUCAUCAUCUUCUUUUUUUGCUGCUUUUCAUCCUCUUCAUCUUCAUCUUCAACCAGUUCGUAAUUGUAAUUCAAAUGUUCAAAUGUCAAGUUUCAAUUUUAACAUCACUGGAAUCGUCAUUCUUUACGCAUCCAACCUCUGAUUACCACCGUAAUAUCUGAUGAAAUGUUUCAAAUAUUUUAAAUUAAAAAGCCGCAGGCCCUGAUGAUCAGCUCAAAAGAUAAUUAACUUGCAAUUAGCCACCUUACAUCGCUAUUAUUUUAUCAUCCUUAUCAUCCCAGUGAUCCUCAUUAUCAUAAUCAUUCUCGUGAUAUCAGUUAUCCUGGAAACUCUACGGGAUUUGGUUUCAUUCAACUUUUUCAACUGAAAUUCAACCUUUUCAAUUAUCUAAUUGAUUCCAGCUAUCAAAUUAACAAAUGAACUAAUCCUUGUUUUACAAUCUAGAUCAAUAUUUUGCUCUGUAUAUCAAAUCUCAUCAUGUAAAUCACCAAGGAAUCCUGGCGUAAAAUAUCCUACUAUUUCUAUAAUUA